GGUCACUCCUGGCCAUGAUGGGGGGUUGGGAGGCUCCUGGGGAUGGGGAGGUCAUGGCUUUUGGUAUUGUAUUUUCUAAACUUUCCCCAGAUCAACCUCUGUUCAGGUUGUGUUUAGCUGUUCCAUGUUGCUUUGGGGAUCCCUGAAAACAAGAUGGUGAGAUGCUCUUUCUGUUUCUCUUUUCCGAUGACAAAUAUUGGAUGUCUACAAAUGUGUGUAUCUACAUGCUGUUGUCAAAAAGAAAUUCAAUCUGUACCAAGUUGAACUACAGUGUUGGGAGAAUGUACAUGCUGUGGUCUUUCUGCUUUGUCAUUGGUUGGGACUGUGACCCCUGCUUUGUCAUUGGUUGGGACUGUGACCCCUGCUUUGUCAUUGGUUGGGACUGUGACCCCUGCUUUGUCAUUGGUUUGGACUGUGACCCCUGCUUUGUCAUUGGUUGGGACUGUGACCCCUGUUUUCUCUGGUCUAUUGUAGACCCAGAAUAAAACGCAUCUAGUUUUUGGGAUGGUUUUUAAGGUUUAUAUUGGAAAGGGUGGGCCACUGCAGGAAGGGCCGUUACACAUUUAAAGUGACUAGAUGAGAGAACAGGGUCAAACCAGGGUCAAACCACAGGCACUUUGGCAGCUGCCUGGUUUUAUAUUUACUGUAUGUUUCAGCCCCACUGGCAGCUGUAGCCACAGCCCGUCCCCUAGGUCAUCUGUCCUAGUCCCCUAGCUCUUCUGUCCUAGUCCCCUGGGUCCAUCUAUCCUAGUCCCCUGGGUCCAUCUAUCCUAGUCCCCUGGGUCCAUCUAUCCUAGUCCCCUGGGUCAUCUGUCCUAGUCCCCUAGCUCUUCUGUCCUAGUCCCCUAGCUCUUCUGUCCUAGUGUCCUGGGUCCAUCUAUCCUAGUGUCCUGGGUCCAUCUAUCCUAGUGUCCUGGGUCCAUCUAUCCUAGUGUCCUGGGUCCAUCUAUCCUAGUGUCCUGGGUCCAUCUAUCCUAGUGUCCUGGGUCCAUCUAUCCUAGUGUCCUGGGGCCAUCUGUCCUAGUCCCCUGGUCCCAUCUGUCCUAGUCCCCUGGUCCCAUCUGUCCUUGUCCCAUCUGUCCUUGUCCCAUCUGUCCUUGUCCCCUGGUCCCAUCUGUCCUUGUCCCCUGGUCCUAUCUGUCCUUGUCCCAUCUGUCCUUGUCCCCUAGCCCAUCUGUCCUAGUUCCCUAGCCCAUCUGUCCUAGUUCCCUAGUCCUGGUGCACAAGCCAUAGGGCUCUGGUCAAAUGUAGUGCACUACAUAAAUAAUUGGGGUGCUAUUUGGCAAGCAGCCUAUGACAUGCUCUCAUUUUACCAUAACUCUAGUGUGAUUGGUUGUGGCUGUCCCUCCCAGUGGAGUCUGGUUUCUGAUCUUGAAGGAGGAGACGAGGAGCAUCUUGCAUUUUUUUUUUUUUUUAAGAUUAAUUUAAAUUGGAUAUAUGAUACACCAGGAAAUGGUCUCCUCCUUCAAGGGUUUUUAUUUUGGGGUGGGAGGGUUACUACAAGCUGCCCUGAUGCAUCGAUAACACCUCCCUUGAUGUGACACCACGUCCCCCUCCAGUAUCAACCCCUAACCGUACCCCCCUCGGCGCUAGCCUGGUUGGCAGUCUGUUCCUGCCCAUUCCAACUCCUUAUGGAUUUGUUAGGUUUUGGAGUGAUGAGUAGGGCCAGGGCAGAAACAGCUCUUUGACCAGGCUCUCCUCUAACCUUGUGCAGGUCUGACAUGACAUGGCAGGACAGGUGUAGGUGAAGCUCUGUAGCUGUUUGGGGUGGAGCUUCACCUAAAAUCUACAUCGUUCUGUCAAGAUGUACAACCAGGAGGAAGCCAGGGAUUGGUUCUGGACAGGGUUGUACACUAUUGUUGGAAAAUGUUGUCUUGUAAGAUCACUAGCAUGUCAGGGAGGGUUGGAGAGGAGAUCUUAUCAAGUCUUUAAAUGGCUCCCUACUCCCUAUAUAGUGCACUACUUUAGACCAGAGGUCUAUGUUAGUAGUGCGCUAUGUAGGGAGUAGGAUUCCAUUUGGAUGCAGUGGCGGAUGCCUCUGACUAGAUGUGUCAGUUUUAUUUCUGGGUGGGAUGGAUGUGUCCCGGGGGGGGGGAUACUGUUAAGAUAUUUAAACAAUUAGAAUAUCCACAAGCAAGGUUCUGGGUAGACAACUUGUUUCAUAUAACUGUUCCCUUUAAAUUUGGACCAUUUUUUUUAUUUUGUAACUCGAUGUCAGUUGGAUUAGAAGUUAAAAAUUCAAAACCAAAUUUAAGUGAAAGAAAGCAUUUACAUUUUUGGGAAUUGGCUGUUUCUCAGUGGAGCUGUGUUUAAAUAAUAAUAAAUAAAUAAAUGUCUUCUGUGUCGUGGUCCCGAUGGUUCAUAUCAGAAAUGACACUUUUGGUUGAAAAAUAAAGCUCACUGAAAUCC
This is a long non-coding RNA of Oncorhynchus nerka (sockeye salmon), 2409 nucleotides long. RefSeq lists it as uncharacterized. The record is from RefSeq and is a predicted model, not a curated record. The transcript has 2 exons. NCBI's taxonomy places the organism in Eukaryota, Metazoa, Chordata, Actinopteri, Salmoniformes, Salmonidae.